AUAUCAAAUGUAAAUAACUGCAUAGUCUUCACUGUUUACAACUAAAUAUAGAUUAAUCGUUUUUGAUGUUACAAAGGUUAUUUAGGUGUUUUUAUAUAUAUAUAUAUAUAUAUAUAUAUAUAUAUAAUUGCAUAGGUUUAUAAUAAUAAUAAUAAUAAUUUCAAACUCAUUUAAAUACUGACCUAUGACAUCCUGUGACAUGACAUGUAUCUGAAUUUACACAAACUCAUGAUGUUACAGUAAAACAGUUCAGCUCACAGAUGAAGACUAAGCUGUAAUGCCAGCAAAUGUUUAUAGAUCAUUAAAAGUAUUUUUUAAAAUGGUUAUAGAUCAUGAAAUGUGUUACAAGAAUUUUAUGUAUAUUCUUUGUGUGUGUGUGUGUGUGUGUGUUAGAGAGAGAGAGAGAGAGAGAGAGAACUCACAUUAUUAAAUGCUAGGGCUGGGCGAUAUGACGAUUUAAAUCGGAUGGACGAAAUUAAAAGUCUAUCGAUUCAUGUUGUGCUCUAUCGUUUAUUUUGUGGUGCCGCAAAAUACAUUGUUUACGGCAAUACGUUUUCAUUAUUUGAAUGACGGCAGUCACAUGCAUUACACGUGUAUGCAGACAGACGCGUGAAUAACAGCAUGCGCGCGCUCACGUCACGUUGCUGUGCGCGUGGUCAUGGUUUUUAAGCACUGCAGUUUGACCCCUUAACAGUAUACCCCCAUUUUCGGCAUAGAGACAGAAAUGACAUACCCAAAAUAAAAAGGUUUCUGCUCAUGAGUCUUUCUGACUAGAUACAUAAUCAACAUAUGUUCACAAAGCUGACACUUCAAAGUUUACUGUUCAAGAAUCAGAAUUACUCAGAAUUACUCAGUUAUGAUAAUAAAGAUAUAUAAGCUCAAACAUAAAAACAAAAAUAUAAAAAAAAAAACCUUUGCACUUAGCUAAGUGUUGCUAGCAUGUUUUAGUAGGUUUCUAACAUGUUGCCAGUGUAUUUAUCACUUUCUGACACUUUUUAAUAUGUUGUUAGGAGUCCAUAAUAGUGUUAAACAUGACACUUCCUGUUGCCAGCAGGUGGUGCUAUGACUAUAACCGAAUAUGGGCAUGUUGAUGUGUUCAGGACAGGACUCUUGUCAAACGUGUGAAGUUUGGGGCAGAUCGGACAUUGCUUGCAUAAGUUACAGCAACUUCCUUUUUCACUACAUUAGUAGCAUGCUUUAGCACUUAGCUAAGUGUUGCAGACACUAAUGCUGUGUUCACACCAAACGCGAAUAGAGCGUCUGGCGCGAAUGAUUUCAAUGUUAAGUCAAUGUAAAGACGCGUUUACGCGCGUCUGGAGGUCUCGCGGCGCGAAUGAGGCGUUUAGCGCGGCGCGGUAGACGCGAAUUCGCCUCAUU
This is a long non-coding RNA of Cyprinus carpio carpio, 1377 nucleotides long. NCBI's taxonomy places the organism in Eukaryota, Metazoa, Chordata, Actinopteri, Cypriniformes, Cyprinidae. The record is from Ensembl.